Molecule: ribosomal RNA, 253 nt
Filed under: uncultured bacterium
Lineage: Bacteria
Description: partial 16S ribosomal RNA
Rfam family: Bacterial small subunit ribosomal RNA
Source: RNAcentral
UACGAAGGUGGCAAGCGUUACUCGGAAUUACUAGGCGUAAAGGGCAGGUAGGUGGUUUGGUAAGGCUGUUGUGAAAGCUCCCGGCUUAACUGGGAGAGGUCCUUGGAUACUGGCAGACUUGAGGAGGGUAGAGGAGAGUGGAAUUCCCGGUGUAGUGGUGAUAUGCGUAGAUAUCGGGAGGAACACCAGUGGCGAAGGCGGCUCUCUGGGCCCUACCUGACGCUGAGACGCGAAAGCGUGGGGAGCGAACCGG